CCCCAGUAACGGCGAGUGAAGCGGCAACAGCCCAGAUGUGAAAUCCGGCCCUAGGCCCGAGUUGUAAUCUGCAGUUGAGUCUUCUGGCAGAGCGCCGCCCAAGUCCCCUGGAAUGGGGCGCUGUAGAGGGUGAGAGCCCUGUACCGGCGCGCGCCGAGCCUCUGUGAAGCUCAUUCGACGAGUCGAGUAGUUCGGAAAUGCUGCUCUAAUUGCGGGGUAAACCUCCCGUAAGGCUAAAUACCGGCCAGAGACCGAUAGCGCACAAGUAGCGUGAGCGAAAGAUGAAAAGGGCCUUGAACAAGGGCGUCAAAAUGUAUGUGAAAUUGUUAUGGGGGAAGCGCUCGGUGCCAGACUCGGGUGCGGCGGGUUAGCCGUCCUUUUGGGCGGCGCACUCCGCCCGCCCCGGGCCAGCAUCAGUUCGGCCCGGCGCCUAAGUCCGCAGGGAAUGUGGCUCUUCGGAGUGUUAUAGCCCCGCGGCGACGCGCCGGACUGGACUGAGGAUCCCGCGCUUCGGCACGGAUGCUGGCGUAAUGGCCCCUAGCGACCCGUCUUGAAACACGGACCAAGGAGUUGACCUGGCAUGCGAGUGUACGGGUGGAAAGCCCUAGCGCGCAAUGAAAGUGAUCAUAGGUGGGAGCCUCGGCGCACCAUCGACCGAUCCUGAAGUUUACGGAUGGAUUUGAGUAAGAGCAUGCCGGGUCUGACCCGAAAGAAGGUGAACUAUGCAUGAAUAGGGUGAAGCCAGAGGAAACUCUGGUGGAGGCUCGCAGCGGUUCUGACGUGCAAAUCGAUCGUCAAAUUUGUGCAUGGGG
RNAcentral lists this ribosomal RNA (812 nucleotides) under Conioscypha sp. RNAcentral describes it as "eukaryotic LSU rRNA". It matches the Rfam family "Eukaryotic large subunit ribosomal RNA", at positions 78 to 922 of the family's 3401-position model. The record is from RNAcentral. Lineage: Eukaryota; Fungi; Ascomycota; Sordariomycetes; Conioscyphales; Conioscyphaceae.